This 147-nucleotide non-coding RNA is filed under the name Gorilla gorilla gorilla (western lowland gorilla). Lineage: Eukaryota; Metazoa; Chordata; Mammalia; Primates; Hominidae. The record is from Rfam by way of RNAcentral.
GCCGGGUGUGGUGGUGGGCGCCUGUAGUCCCAGCUACUUGGAGGCUGAGGCACGAGAAUCGCUUCAACCCAGGAAGUGGAGGUUGCAGUGAGCCGAGACUGUGCCACUGCCCUCCAGCCUGGGUGACAGAGUGAGACCCUGUCUCCA